Non-coding RNA from Cinara cedri, 277 nucleotides. NCBI's taxonomy places the organism in Eukaryota, Metazoa, Arthropoda, Insecta, Hemiptera, Aphididae. The record is from the annotation of a GenBank genome assembly.
UGUGCUUUUAUUGACCGAAGAGGGAACUCUUCUAUACCAGUUCUGCAAUCUAUCAACGACGUUUGACGAUCUGUAAUUUUAAUAACAAUGAUAUUAUUUUAUAAUCAUUAUAAAAUAUUUAUUUAUAUUAUAUUUUUUUUUUAACUAGGCCUUUUGCACGAUUAUAAGACGUGGACUAAAAAUAGCAAAGACUAAACCAACAAACAACUUAAGUUUUUAUUUUAUAAGUAAACAUUUUAAAUAAUUAACACAAUGACUUACAUUGUGAAUACCAUAG